GUGAGGAAUAUUGCGCAAUGGAGGCAACUCUGACGCAGCCAUGCUGCGUGCAGGAAGAAGGCGCUACGCGUUGUAAACUGCUUUUAACCGGGAAGAAACCCCAGGACGUGUCCUGGGUUGACGGUACCGGAGGAAUAAGCACCGGCUAACUUCGUGCCAGCAGCCGCGGUAAUACGAAGGGUGCAAGCGUUCUCCGGAUUCAUUGGGUUUAAAGGGUGCGUAGGCGGAGCGUUAAGUCAGUGGUGAAAUCCUGCAGCUUAACUGUAGACUUGCCAUUGAUACUGGCGCUCUUGAGUGCGCUUGAAGUGGGCGGAAUGUGCCGUGUAGCGGUGAAAUGCUUAGAUAUGGCACAGAACACCAAUUGCGAAGGCAGCUCACUAAGGCGAUACUGACGCUGAGGCACGAAAGCGUGGGGAUCGAACAGGAUUAGAAACCCGGGUAGUCC
RNAcentral lists this ribosomal RNA (445 nucleotides) under uncultured bacterium. RNAcentral describes it as "partial 16S ribosomal RNA". It matches the Rfam family "Bacterial small subunit ribosomal RNA", at positions 354 to 796 of the family's 1533-position model. The record is from RNAcentral.